AGAUUACAAAACCAAAAAGCAGUGAUUGAACAAAGGUGUAGCGAACAAAAAUUAAAGGAAAAAGAAACCACAAAAGCUUGCAGAGUCAGUCAAGGCAAAAAGAAAAAACGUUUGCAAAAAGAAUUUGGAAAAAAAAUUGUCAAAUGUGGAGAGGAAAUUUUUGGUAAACAAAAAAAAGAUAAAAAUAAAUUAAAAUUUUAAAAAAAUCUCCCCCACUCUAUCCACUAACCACCUUAUCCCCUAAAAUCCACCCCACUACCACAUCCAACUACCUCAAACUUCUAACUCCACC
Molecule: long non-coding RNA, 292 nt
Filed under: Gossypium raimondii (Peruvian cotton)
Lineage: Eukaryota; Viridiplantae; Streptophyta; Magnoliopsida; Malvales; Malvaceae
Description: long non-coding RNA (GRAI_LNC000275)
Source: RNAcentral